Molecule: ribosomal RNA, 698 nt
Filed under: uncultured Lachnospiraceae bacterium
Lineage: Bacteria; Bacillati; Bacillota; Clostridia; Lachnospirales; Lachnospiraceae
Description: bacterial SSU rRNA
Rfam family: Bacterial small subunit ribosomal RNA
Source: RNAcentral
UGCAAGUCGAACGAAGCACCUUACCGGAUUCUUCGGAUGAAAGUUUGGUGACUGAGUGGCGGACGGGUGAGUAACGCGUGGGUAACCUGCCCUGUACAGGGGGAUAACAGCUGAAACGGCUGCUAAUACCGCAUAAGCGCACGAGGAGACAUCUCCUUGUGUGAAAAACUCCGGUGGUACAGGAUGGGCCCGCGUCUGAUUAGCUGGUUGGCAGGGUAACGGCCUACCAAGGCAACGAUCGGUAGCCGGUCUGAGAGGAUGAACGGCCACAUUGGAACUGAGACACGGUCCAAACUCCUACGGGAGGCAGCAGUGGGGAAUAUUGCACAAUGGGGGAAACCCUGAUGCAGCAACGCCGCGUGAGUGAAGAAGUAUUUCGGUAUGUAAAGCUCUAUCAGCAGGGAAGAUAAUGACGGUACCUGACUAAGAAGCUCCGGCUAAAUACGUGCCAGCAGCCGCGGUAAUACGUAUGGAGCAAGCGUUAUCCGGAUUUACUGGGUGUAAAGGGUGCGUAGGUGGCAGUGCAAGUCAGAUGUGAAAGGCCGGGGCUCAACCCCGGAGCUGCAUUUGAAACUGCUCGGCUAGAGUACAGGAGAGGCAGGCGGAAUUCCUAGUGUAGCGGUGAAAUGCGUAGAUAUUAGGAGGAACACCAGUGGCGAAGGCGGCCUGCUGGACUGUUACUGACACUGAGGCACGAA